GUAACACCCGAAGUCGGUGAGGUAACCUUUUGGAGCCAGCCGCCGAAGGUGGGACAGAUGAUUGGGGUGAAGUCGUAACAAGGUAGCCGUAUCGGAAGGUGCGGCUGGAUCACCUCCUUUCUAAGGA
RNAcentral lists this ribosomal RNA (127 nucleotides) under Heyndrickxia sporothermodurans. Its description in RNAcentral is "partial 16S ribosomal RNA". It matches the Rfam family "Bacterial small subunit ribosomal RNA", at positions 1414 to 1533 of the family's 1533-position model. The record is from RNAcentral. Lineage: Bacteria; Bacillati; Bacillota; Bacilli; Caryophanales; Bacillaceae.